CCUACGGGGGGCAGCAGUGGGGGAUAUUGCACAAUGGGGGAAACCCUGAUGCAGCGACGCCGCGUGAGCGAUGAAGUAUUUCGGUAUGUAAAGCUCUAUCAGCAGGGAAGAAAAUGACGGUACCUGACUAAGAAGCCCCGGCUAACUACGUGCCAGCAGCCGCGGUAAUACGUAGGGGGCAAGCGUUAUCCGGAUUUACUGGGUGUAAAGGGAGCGCAGGCGGCGCGCCAAGUCUGAUAUGAAACCCCGGGGCUCAACCCCGGGCAUGCAUUGGAAACUGGCGGGCUGGAGUGCCGGCGAGGUAA
Molecule: ribosomal RNA, 305 nt
Filed under: uncultured bacterium
Lineage: Bacteria
Description: bacterial SSU rRNA
Rfam family: Bacterial small subunit ribosomal RNA
Source: RNAcentral